GACGAACGCUGGCGGCGUGCCUAAUACAUGCAAGUCGAGCGAAUUUACGAGAGCUUGCUCUCGUAAAUUAGCGGCGGACGGGUGAGUAACACGUGGGCAACCUGCCUAUAAGACCGGGAUAACUUCGGGAAACCGGAGCCAAUACCGGAUAAUUCACAUCUACUCAUGUAGAUGUGCUGAAAGACGGUUUCGUCUGUCACUUAUAGAUGGGCCCGCGGCGCAUUAGCUAGUUUGUGAGGUAACGGCUCACCAAGGCCACGAAGAGUAGCCGACCUGAGAGGGUGAUCGGCCACACUGGGACUGAGACACGGCCCAGACUCCUACGGGAGGCAGCAGUAGGGAAUCUUCCGCAAUGGACGAAAGUCUGACGGAGCAACGCCGCGUGAGUGAUGAAGGUUUUCGGAUCGUAAAACUCUGUUGUUAGGGAAGAACAAGUACCAGAGUAGCUGCUGGUACCUUGACGGUACCUAACCAGAAAGCCACGGCUAACUACGUGCCAGCCGCCGCCGUAA
RNAcentral lists this ribosomal RNA (512 nucleotides) under uncultured bacterium. Its description in RNAcentral is "partial 16S ribosomal RNA". It matches the Rfam family "Bacterial small subunit ribosomal RNA", at positions 28 to 523 of the family's 1533-position model. The record is from RNAcentral.